Molecule: ribosomal RNA, 253 nt
Filed under: uncultured bacterium
Lineage: Bacteria
Description: partial 16S ribosomal RNA
Rfam family: Bacterial small subunit ribosomal RNA
Source: RNAcentral
UACGGGGGGAGCAAGCGUUGUUCGGAUUUACUGGGCGUAAAGGGCGCGUAGGCGGUAGCACAAGUCAGUUGUGAAAUCUCCGGGCUUAACUCGGAAAGGUCAACUGAUACUGUGCGACUAGAGUGCAGAAGGGGCAACUGGAAUUCUCGGUGUAGCGGUGAAAUGCGUAGAUAUCGAGAGGAACACCUGCGGCGAAGGCGGGUCUCUGGGCUAUAACUGACGCUCAUGCACGAAAGCGUGGGGAGCAAACAGG